RNAcentral lists this long non-coding RNA (5181 nucleotides) under Sus scrofa (pig). RNAcentral describes it as "lncRNA (ENSSSCG00025043992.1)". Lineage: Eukaryota; Metazoa; Chordata; Mammalia; Artiodactyla; Suidae. The record is from RNAcentral.
UUUUUUUUUUUUUUUUUUUUUUUUGGAUGCCCUUUAAAGAUUGCUGUUAACUGGAAAGACAAGAAACCCUUGUAGUUAAAAAAAAAAAAAAAUACUAAAUUUAUUUUUCAGAAAAGAAAUACCUUGAAGGUUAACGCUUUCUUUUCUUUUCUUUUUUUGGUUUUUUUUUUUUUUACUUUGCAGACCAGAGUGCUCCCUUGACAUGAGUUUCACCUAACUGUUGUUCUUUCCUUCAAGUGUCAACCAAAAGAGCAAUGAUGAGCUUGGCGUGGGCCAUGGCUGAACCCGACUGGAGACCUCUGCGGCCCUCACACACAGCCACGGGGAGCUCACAGCCAUGAUUCAGUACGGCGCACAGCAGACAGAGAGGAGACACCUUACCUGUAUCAUCUACAGAUACCGCUUGAAAAAUCACACGUAAUUAGGCCCUUCUCACAGGGGAAGCUACUCGAAGCUCUAUCACCAGCUGGUAAGAUGGCAUCUCUGGGUUUCACUGGUGGUUCUGUGAACAUUUCCAGACCAGAGGCACCUGACAAUCCAGGUGACAUGUUUACCACGCCUCUCCUAGUCCUCUAAAAACAGCAGCUCCGCGCUACCUAACUGAAGGAAAACGCAAUGGUGGGAGAUGUACUGACAUCUGCAGGGUGGCCCUGAGGUGGCUUCCCCCCCAGACUGUUCUGCUCCAUUAAUCCUGGUGCAAGAAAUAAGAUGUCGUGGUCACUAGGUGCCACCCCUGCUUGUCCUCCAUUGGCCCUUGCUGUACACAGGUGGGUAGUCAACCUUCGAAACAGCCCAAUUGUCUAGUGAAGCACGUAAGAGUUCAAAUACCAGCUCAAGCUACUUCCUGCACCUCCCUGCUCCCUUCUGCAGUGAGGAUAUGUUUUAACACGGCAGUACAGUUAUAUGGGUUAAAAAUAACAGACACAGCUCACCCCAAUGUGUGGCCUGUGUUAGGCUCUCAAUUAUAGGUAGUUAUGAUUAAAAUUCCUAACACUGAGUUCGCCUGGGUCAGGAAAAACUAGCAUGGGUAGAAUCUGAACUGGAUGGUGUCUGCAAAGUUAUUUCUAUGUCAGAACAUGUUUGUUCAAUCACGAUGGUCCCCGCCCUCCUUAUCUACGAAUAUAUAUAUAUACUGUAGAUAUUUAUAGACUAAUAGGUAUAUAAAAUCAGUUAUGCAAGUUGUAAUUGACUGUGCAAUUACUGAGUAAACAGUAGAUGAAAGGAAAAUGUGAGGAUGUGAGAGCUGGCUUUAAUUCAUGUUUUAUCUUAUAUUCAUUAAACUGUUUAUUUACUUGUCUACACUCUCCUCCCUGUUGAUUAUUUUCCAGGCAUACAUUUCCCUUGAGCAACGUCAGAUGAGAAAGUGAUUUCAUUUCCAUCACAGGGGAGAAGACAAACAGAAGACCCAGAGGCAGCGACUUGCUUGGAGGCCUCCAAGGUGAGAAAAUUGAGGAAUGAAAAGGAUACGUGACUUACCCAAGUAAGUGGGGUUCACAUCUAAACUGUCUGGUUUCAGAGCUCACAGUCCUGCCCACCCUGGAAAGACACAGACGUGCUGACAAGGAGCUUACAGAGUAAAAAGGGGUGGCAACCUUAACAAAAAAGACAAAUCAGUCAUUACAAACCAAGGCAGGACCAUGAUUGAAAAGAACAGGAAAAACAAGAGUUAAGAACAAUAAACUGUUUUAGCCAGGCGGCCAGAGAAGUCUUCUCCAGGUAGGUGAAUGUAUGAGGGAUGAAUACUAUCAGACCAAGAAUGGCUGAGACAGAGAAGACUGUGCUAUAGAGAACAGUAGGCAGAACACAGCUUGGUUAUGUUUGAAGGACUGAAAAAUGGCCAGUGCUUCAGAAGGCCAUAAAGGGGAGUGUGUCUCUUCUUGCUCGCUGCCAUAGGACAGGGAUUGGUCAAUAGAUUUUUUUUUUGUAUGGCACCAAGGAGUAACUAUUUUAAGCUUUGUAGGCCAUGCAGCCUCCAUCACAAUUAUGCAACUCUGACGCUGCAGCGUGAAAGCUACUGCAUAUAAGUAAACAGGUGAGCAUGUAUGUUGCAAUAAAAGUGCACAUAGGGACACUGGAAUUUAGAUUUCAGUGUGACAGGAAACGGAUGAGCAUGUAUGUUCCAAUGAAACGGUAUAUACGGACAGCAGAAUUUAGACUUCAGUGAGACAGUUCCACAAAUAGCAAGUAUGUGUGCAAAAACACGUAAGAGUCACAUUUGGUGCAUUUCCAACACAUUAAUCCUUACAUAUAUCCAAGGCACCUUAACCUUAGAGCUCAGUGAAUUCUGUCAGCUGACGGAAUGUAAAAGCAAGAUACAAUUUUGAAUAAAAUUUAGUAACUGGGCUAUUGGUUUUUAAAUCACUCUUAAUCAGGAUUAUCCAGGAAAAAUAGUAUCAAUAGGAUAUGUAUGUAUAUGAAGAGAUUUGUUAGCAGAUAAAUGGCUCACACAAUUACGGAGGCUGGAAAGUUGCAUAAUUUUGCCCGCCAGCUGGCAACCCAGAAGAGGCAGUGGUGUAGAUCCUAGUCUGAGUCUGAAAGCCCAAGAAACAGGAGCACCCAGGGAAGGAGGGCCAAUGUCCCAGCUCAAGCAGCGAGUCUGGAAGGGCCAAACUCUUCCUUCCUCUGCCUUUAUGUUCUGUUCAGGCUCUCAGCAGAGUGGCUAAGCCCACCCACCCUGGGGAGGGCACAGUGCUUUGCCGAGUGCACUGGCUCAAAUGCUAAUUUCAUCUGGACACGCCUUCACAGACAUUUUCAGAAAUAACAUUUAACCAGUAUCUGGGCAACCCGUGAUCCAGUCAAGAUGACACACAAAAUUUUAACCAUUACAGUCUGAUAAAGAGGAACAAAUCAUCACCCAGGAAAAAGAAAUAUUGGCAUUGAUGAAGAUAAUACAAAGGAAUGUUCCAUCUUUACAAAGAGAACAACAACAAAAUAAUGAAUGCAUCAUCAUUCAAAGAGUAUUUCAGAUUGAUCACUGCCCCAGAAAACUAAAAUUGUCUAAAAUCUUAAGAGGUCGCCUAUAAAACACUUGACGGACACUUUCCUAAAGUUGACAUGACAAUCCUAAAAAUUUAUAUCACCUAACCAGUAAUGAGUUAUGAAGCCAAAAUAAAUUUUUCUAAAUUGACAAUAAAUUUUGAUCAAUCCAGAAGGUAGAAAGAUUAAAUCCUCUUUCGAAUAAUUUCUAUAGAAAAUGAUAAUCCAAGACCACUGUAUUAACAGGUAAUCCAAGAGUAUGUAGCCAAAAUAUACAGGAAACACACAUUAUAGGAAAAGUCAGGUAGUUAAUAAAAAAUAAACAUGUUAUUUGGGGGAUUUUGUGAUAUAUAUUUCAGCUUUAAAAAUUGCGUAAUUUGUGGAGUUCCUAUUGUGGCUCAGUGGGUUAAGAACCUGACUAGCAUCCAUGAGGAUGCGGGUUUGAUCCCUGGCCUAUAUCAGUGACUUAAGGAUCUGGUGUUGCUGCAGACUGAGGCACAGGUUGCAGGUGUGGCUGUGGCUGGCAGCUGCAGCUCUGAUUCGACCUCUAGCCCAGGAACUUCCAUCUGUUGCAAGUGUGGCCAUAAAAAGAAAAAAAAUCUUUUAACUUAUUUUUUUUGGUCUUUUUGUCUUUUCUAGGGCCACGCCCAUGGCAUAUGGAGGUUCCCAGGCUAGGAGUCAAAUCGGAGCUGUAGCUGCCGGCCUAUGCCACAGCAACGUGGGAUCUGAGCUGCGUCUGCGACCUACACCACAGCUUAUGCCAACGCCGGAUCCUUAACCCACUGAGCGAGGCCAGGGACCGAACCCACAACAUCAUGGUUCCUAGUCAGAUUUGUUAAUCACUGAUCCAUGACGGGAACUCCUAUAACUUAUUUUUUAAAAUGUCUACAGUUCUUUUAGCCAUGCCUACAGCAUGCGGAAGUUCCCAGGCCAGGGCUUGAACCCAUGCCAUAGCAGUGACAACACCAGAUUUUUAACCUGUUGUACCACAGGGAACUCAUCUACAUCCUUUUUCUUAAAGCUGCCGACCUGCCUCUGCCUUGGAAGUGCGCUUACGGCCUAUUUCCCCAGGACAGCUAUCCUUUCCUUCCUUUGGACCUGUUCUCAGGCCUUCAGACUUGGGUCCUGGACUGGAACUAACUGGGCUUUCCUGGACCUCCAGUUUGCAGAGGGACUUAACCUCUGAAACCAAAUUGUUUGCAUACACAGUUACUUUUAAAAAUAUACACAGGAGACGGGAUUGAGACAGUGGAGUAGAAGGAGUAAAGCUCGCCUUCUCUCAUGAAAACAACAAAAUUACAACCAACGGCUGAACAACCUUCAAUAAAACAGACUGGAAACUAUCAAAAAAGAUAUCCUACUCCAAAAGACAAAUAAGAGGCCACAUUGAGAUGGUAAAAGGGGUGAUUAUGUGAUAUAAGCAACUCCAUACCCACUGGGGGGAUAGCCCACAGACUGGAAAGUUAACUGUAUCACAGGGGCUCACCCACGGGAGUAAGGGUUCUGCGCCCCAUGUCAGGUUCCCAUGCUUGGGGAUCUGGCAUUGGGAGAGGGAGCCCCGGGAGCAUUUGGCAUUGAAGGCCAGUGGGGCUUACACACAGGAGCUUCACAGAACUGGGGGAAAUGGAGACUCCACUCUUGAAAGGCGCACACAGGCUUUUGUGUGUUUGGGUCCAAGGACAAAGCAGAGACUCCAUAGGAAUCUAGGUCAGACUUGCCUGUGGUUCUUGGAGGAUCUCCUGGGAAAACAGUGGGUGACUGUGGCUCGUUGUUGGGCAAGGAUACUGGAGGCAAAUGUCUCAGAAAUAAUCAUCAGCAUGAAUUCCUCUAGAGGUGGCUGUUUUGCAAAAAUUUAGCACCAGGCCAGAGAACAAACCCAGUGGGAACACAGCCCCACCCAUCAGCAAACAGGCUACCUAAAGGCCCGCCCCCACCCAGGCACAUAGACUCCUCUAAUCACACCCACAGACAAAGCCCCACCCACCAGAAGGACAAGACUCAGCUCCACCCACUAGGGGGCAGGCACCAGUCCCUCCCAUCAGGAAGUAGGCAGCAUGCCCCCAUACCAACUUCAGCCACCCUCAAGGGGGGCAGACAUCAGAAGCAAGAGACUACAACCCUAUUACCACACUAAAAAUCUAUACAAAAUGAAAAAGGCAUAGAAUUAGGACUCAGAUAAAGGAACAAGGAAAAAAAAAAAAAAAA